GACGAACCGUGCGAACGUUAUUCGGAAUCACUGGGCUUAAAGCGCGUGUAGGCGGGCCGGCACGUCGGUCGCUGAAAGCCCCCGGCUCAACCGGGGAAGCGGCGCCGAUACGACCGGCCUGGAGGGGGGUAGGGGGCGCCGGAACGGCCGGUGGAGCGGUGAAAUGCGUUGAGAUCGGCCGGAACGCCCGUGGCGAAAGCGGGCGCCUGGACCCCGCCUGACGCUGAGACGCGAAAGCCAGGGGAGCGAA
This 250-nucleotide ribosomal RNA is filed under the name uncultured bacterium. RNAcentral describes it as "partial 16S ribosomal RNA". It matches the Rfam family "Bacterial small subunit ribosomal RNA", at positions 524 to 772 of the family's 1533-position model. The record is from RNAcentral.